RNAcentral lists this transfer RNA (67 nucleotides) under bovine gut metagenome. It matches the Rfam family "tRNA". Rfam says of the family: Transfer RNA (tRNA) molecules are approximately 80 nucleotides in length. Their secondary structure includes four short double-helical elements and three loops (D, anti-codon, and T loops). The record is from RNAcentral.
GGGCUUUAGCCAAGUGGUAAGGCAAGGGACUGCAACUCCCUGAUCGCAGGUUCGAAUCUUGUAGGCC